CAAGAAUUUUCCGCAAUGGGGGAAACCCUGACGGAGCGACGCCGCGUGAAGGAAGAAGGUCUUCGGAUUGUAAACUUCUUUUGUAAGGGAAGAAUAAGUCUAUCAGGAAAUGGGUAGAUGAUGACGGUACCUUACGAAUAAGCCCCGGCUAAUUACGUGCCAGCAGCCGCGGUAAUACGUAAGGGGCGAGCGUUGCUCGGAAUUACUGGGCGUAAAGGGCGUGUAGGCGGUCACACAAGUCUAAUGUAAAAAACCGAGGCUUAACUUCGGAGUUGCGUUAGAAACUGUAUGGCUUGAGUCUGGUGGAGGGUGAUGGAAUUCCCGGUGUAGCGGUGAAAUGCGUAGAUAUCGGGAAGAACACCGAAGGCUAAAGCAGUCAUCCAUGCCAAGACUGACGCUGAGGCGCGAAAGCAUGGGUAUCAAAC
Molecule: ribosomal RNA, 425 nt
Filed under: uncultured bacterium
Lineage: Bacteria
Description: bacterial SSU rRNA
Rfam family: Bacterial small subunit ribosomal RNA
Source: RNAcentral